RNAcentral lists this ribosomal RNA (458 nucleotides) under uncultured bacterium. RNAcentral's name for it is "partial 16S ribosomal RNA". It matches the Rfam family "Bacterial small subunit ribosomal RNA", at positions 338 to 795 of the family's 1533-position model. The record is from RNAcentral.
ACUACGGGGGGCUGCAGUGAGGAAUAUUGGUCAAUGGGCGAGAGCCUGAACCAGCCAAGUCGCGUGAGGGAGUACUGCCCUAUGGGUUGUAAACCUCUUUUGUCGGGGAGCAAAAGACGGACGUGUCCGGCUGUGAGAGUACCCGAAGAAAAAGCAUCGGCUAACUCCGUGCAAGCAGCCGCGGUAAUACGGAGGAUGCGAGCGUUAUCCGGAUUUAUUGGGUUUAAAGGGUGCGCAGGCGGAUUUUUAAGUCAGCGGUCAAAUCGUGGGGCUCAACCCCAUCCAGCCGUUGAAACUGGGGAUCUAGAGUGUGCGAGAGGUAUGCGGAAUGCGUGGUGUAGCGGUGAAAUGCAUAGAUAUCACGCAGAACCCCGAUUGCGAAGGCAGCAUACCGGUGCACAACUGACGCUCAGGCACGAAAGCGUGGGUAUCGAACAGGAUUAGAUACCCUAGUAGUC